GUUUAACUGUAAAUAUAUAUUUUUAAAUGUCUAGAGGACACACACAUGAAACCUAGGUUUUCUGCAUAUGUGGAUAAUGUUAUGCUUCUCUGGUUAUUUUCAGAUCCCAGAAGAUGCAAGCCUCUCGCCAGAGCAGGCAGGGUCAUAGCCCAAAUGAAGCAGAACCCCAGAACCAAACAAGGUCAAGCACAGAGAAUCAGACUAGAUCCAACCAGGAUCCAGAAGCAACGUGCGAAAAGCAUCAAGGGUGGGCCCCCUCAGCACUGUGGAUUGAACUGGAUGAAUCUCAGGGUCCCCAGUGUGAGGAGAGCCAGUGUGGUGUAGUGGUUAGGAGCGGUGGACUCGUAAUCUGGUGAACUGGGUUCGCUUCCCCACCCUUCCACAUGCAGCUGCUGGGUGACCUUGGGCCAGUCACACUUCUCUGAAGUCUCUCAGCCUCACUCAUCUCACAGAGUGUUUGUUGUGGGGGAGGAAGGGAAAGGAGAAUGUUAGCCACUUUUGAGACUACUUUGGGUAGUGAUAAAGCAGGAUAUCAAAUCCAAACUCUUCUUCUUCUUCUUCUUCCCCUCCAGCUCCACAAUUCUACAAUUCUUUGGCCUUGCCUGAUCAUCUGGGUCCUUGACCUGGGGAGAUGACAGAUGUCGGAUCAUCUCAGAUUUCUUCAGUUGAGUGCCGGCUUUAACUCGGACCCAUCUCUAGGUGGUUUAGUGGGAGUGAGGCUGAAGAGAAUAUAAGGCAGAAAUGAUGACAGAGAAAUGUCCUAGCUUGGGGCUCUGGGUGCAGAGAGGAGGGAAGCUCAGUAUGAGGCCUUGAAACUUCUUGUUAUAGGUUAUGUUGGAUAUAUUGUUGUGUAAUACAAUGGUACCUCAGGUUACAGAUGCUUCAGGUUACAGACUCCGCUAACCCAGAAAUAGUAUCUCGAGUUAAGAACUUUGCUUCAGGAUGAGAACAGAAAUUGUGUGGUGGCGGCAUGGCGGCAGCAGGAGGCCCCAUUAACUAAAGUGGUACUAAAGUGGUACCUCAGGUUAAGAACAGUUUCAGGUUAAGAACAGACCUCCAGAACGAAUUAAGUUCUUAACCCGAGGUACCACUGUAUAUUUUUUUAAAAACUUUGUAUUCAAAUAAAAUACCUUUUAUGCCCUCUAUGAAUAAAUGUGUGUGUGUGUGUGUGUGUGUGUGUAUGCAUGAGUCUUUGACCCAGGUGGAAAAAAAAAAGCCUAGUUUCAUCACUGGAUAGUUCGCACCUGGAAAGGGGACUCAAUAGGCCCAUAACUCCCUUGGCAGACCAGAAGUCCAGUGCUGCGUUACGUUUUUGGAUGAUUAGAUUUUUCCAGCUGGGGAGAAAAAGUUUCAGAGGUGUGCUGAAAAAGUUGCAACCUACCCUUAAGGUCCAACUCUUUCUUUCUCUCCACUGGAGGUUUUUAAACAGAGGUUGAAUGGCCAUCUGUCAGGGAUUCUUUAGCUGUGAUUCCAGCUUUGCAGGGGGUUGAACUAAGUGAUCCCUGGGAUCCCUUCCUGCUCUUCUAUGAUUCAUUAACACCCUGCAUAUUUUGCUUGUCUGCCCUGCUUUUGUAGGAGCCUACAGCAGUACGAAGCUAUGAUCUUUGUCCAUUGCCGCACCUAAUUGGUUUGUUUGUUUUGCACCAGGCCCUCCCUGCCACCCUUGGCCUGUGCCCUCCUGAAAAGUUUCCUAAUGGGGAAUCUAUGACCUGGGCUGAGAAAAAAGGAUCCCUUACCCCUCGCGGGUGGCGCUGUGGUCUAAACCACAGAGCCCAGGGCUUGCCGAUUAGAAGGUCGGCGGUUCAAAUCCCCGUGUUGGGUGAGCUCCCGUUGUUCAGUCCCUGCCAGAAGUGGCUUAGUCAUGCUGGCCACAUGGCCCGGAAGCUGUAUGCCAACUCCCUUGGCCAGUAAAGCAAGAUGAGCGCCGCAACCCCAGAGUCAUCCACGACUGGACCUAAUGGUUUGGGGUCCCUUUACCUUUACCCCUUGCUUUAGGACAUCAACUGGCCAUCUCUCUGCAAACAGUUUAAGGGGCUAUGGUUGGCUUGAUCAGUCUUGUAUGCAUUGCAGCUGUCUCACUUUUAGAGGGCUACGAGAGAUUAUUGCGGCAUAUUGCCAAGGAAUGUGGAGUGGUGGUUGUAGCUGUUAGGUAAGUGCCAUCUCCAUCUUGCCAUUGCUCCCUGAUUACGCUCUUAAACCCCAAGGCAUUUCAGCACCUGUGGAGAAACACCCGCUGUUGCACCUGCGUUGGGAAUGCAAUCUCCUAAAGGAGUCUCCCCUGCUCUCCUCAACAACAGCGGAAGCGUUCCAGAGAGAUCUUUUGCCAGUCCCCCUAGAGACAAGGGAGACCAGAAACGCUCUUUUAAUCAAACCUCUAAAUUUGAAAAAGAGCUGUUAGAAAAUAAGAUUACGUUGCUUUCUAAAAUGCAAUUAGAAAUUGCUUUCUAAAUUAAAGCAUACAAAAGAUAAACAGGUUACAUCAGCUAUGAUACACUGGGUGAGGGACUUCGGAAAUAAUAUACAACUUACAGCAUGGCAGAAGUUAUGGAACUGAGACUUGAGGUUUACAGCAUGUUAUACUUUGAAAGAAAAUUGUAUGAAAAUGAUGUAUUGUUGGUACUUAACUCUUAGUAAAUUAGCUAAAAUGUAUAAAACAAGGUCACAUACAUGCUGGAAAUGUAAGGAAAAAGAAGGUAACUUUUAUCACAUGUGGUGGACUUGUAAAGUAGUAAAAGAAUUUUAGGAGAUGACAUAUAAUGAACUGGAAAAAAUGUUUAAAAUAACAUUUCCUUUAAAAACCCCUAAACUUUCCUUCUAGGAAUUCUGGGUGCCGAAAUACCAAUGGGUCAGAAAAGACCAUUUAUGUACAAGACCACUGUGGUUCGGAUGUUACUAGUGCAGAGAUGGAAAGAAGACAUACCAGAGAAGAAUGGCAAAUUAAACUGAUGGCGUAUGCCAAAAUGGCAAAAAUGACCAGAAGAAUUAGAAAGCGGGAAGACCAAAAUUUUAAUAAGGAAUGGGAAAAAUAUAUUAUUUACCUUAAAAAUCAUGGUAAACAAUUGAAAUUAUUAUUAGGAUUGGAAUGAUGGUUUCAGUUUAAUGUUGAACUUUGCUUGUAAUGGAGAUUUAACAGAUUUGGAUUAAUAGAGAAGAAGCAGGAGGAAAAAUGUUAACAUAAGGACCCACAAAGGGGAGGAGGGAAGUUCAGGG
RNAcentral lists this long non-coding RNA (3210 nucleotides) under Podarcis lilfordi (Lilford's wall lizard). The record is from RNAcentral. Lineage: Eukaryota; Metazoa; Chordata; Lepidosauria; Squamata; Lacertidae.